CACACGACCGUACCGCAAACCGACACUGGUGCGCGAGAUGAGUAUUCUAAGGCGCUUGAGAGAACUCAGGAGAAGGAACUCGGCAAAUUGACACCGUAACUUCGGAAGAAGGUGUGCCUUUAGUAGGUGAAGUCCCUCGCGGAUGGAGCCCAAUGAGGUUGCAAAAAAUCGGUGGCUGCGACUGUUUAUUAAAAACACAGCACUCUGCAAACACGAAAGUGGACGUAUAGGGUGUGACGCCUGCCCGGUGCUGGAAGAUUAAAUGAUGGGGUGCAAGCUCUUGAUUGAAGUCCCAGUAAACGGCGGCCGUAACAAUAACGGUCCUAAGGUAGCGAAAUUCCUUGUCGGGUAAGUUCCGACCUGCACGAAUGGCGUAACGAUGGCCACACUGUCUCCUCCUGAGACUCAGCGAAGUUGAAAUGUUUGUGAUGAUGCAAUCUCCCCGCGGAAAGACGGAAAGACCCCAUGAACCUUUACUGUAGCUUUGUAUUGGACUUUGAACAGAUCUGUGUAGGAUAGGUGGGAGGCUUUGAAGCAGGGUCGCUAGAUCUUGUGGAGCCAACGUUGAAAUACCACCCUGGUGUGUUUGAGGUUCUAACCUAGGCCCGUAAUCCGGGUUGGGGACAGUGCAUGGUAGGCAGUUUGACUGGGGCGGUCUCCUCCCAAAGUGUAACGGAGGAGUUCGAAGGUACGCUAGUUACGGUCGGACAUCGUGACGAUAGUGCAAUGGCAUAAGCGUGCUUAACUGCGAGACUGACAAGUCGAGCAGAUGCGAAAGCAGGACAUAGUGAUCCGGUGGUUCUGUAUGGAAGGGCCAUCGCUCAACGGAUAAAAGGUACUCUGGGGAUAACAGGCUGAUACCGCCCAAGAGUUCAUAUCGACGGCGGUGUUUGGCACCUCGAUGUCGGCUCAUCUCAUCCUGGGGCUGUAGCCGGUCCCAAGGGUAUGGCUGUUCGCCAUUUAAAGAGGUACGUGAGCUGGGUUUAAAACGUCGUGAGACAGUUUGGUCCCUAUCUUCCGUGGGCGCUGCAGAUUUGAGGAAGCCUGCUCCUAGUACGAGAGGACCGGAGUGGACGCACCUCUGGUGUAUCGGUUGUCACGCCAGUGGCAUUGCCGAGUAGCUAUGUGCGGAAGAGAUAACCGCUGAAAGCAUCUAAGCGGGAAACUCGUUUCAAGAUGAGAUCUGCCGGGGCCUUGAGCCCCCUGAAGAGUCGUUCAAGACCAGGACGUUGAUAGGUCGGGUGUGGAAGCGCAGUAAUGCGUUAAGCUAACCGAUACUAAUUGCUCGUGCGGCUUGACCCC
This 1302-nucleotide ribosomal RNA is filed under the name metagenome. RNAcentral describes it as "bacterial LSU rRNA". It matches the Rfam family "Bacterial large subunit ribosomal RNA", at positions 1635 to 2925 of the family's 2925-position model. The record is from RNAcentral.